UAUAAUUUAGUUUAUACGAACGUUAAGUUUUGAUCUUAGAGGAGGUGGUGGAAUUCUACUUGUUGUAA
RNAcentral lists this transfer RNA (68 nucleotides) under Metisotoma macnamarai. RNAcentral's name for it is "tRNA-Gln". Lineage: Eukaryota; Metazoa; Arthropoda; Collembola; Entomobryomorpha; Isotomidae. The record is from RNAcentral.